RNAcentral lists this transfer RNA (74 nucleotides) under Streptococcus equi subsp. zooepidemicus ATCC 35246. RNAcentral's name for it is "tRNA-Asp (GTC) (tRNA-Asp-GTC-1-1, tRNA-Asp-GTC-1-2)". It matches the Rfam family "tRNA". Rfam says of the family: Transfer RNA (tRNA) molecules are approximately 80 nucleotides in length. Their secondary structure includes four short double-helical elements and three loops (D, anti-codon, and T loops). Further hydrogen bonds mediate the characteristic L-shaped molecular structure. tRNAs have two regions of fundamental functional importance: the anti-codon, which is responsible for specific mRNA codon recognition, and the 3' end, to which the tRNAs corresponding amino acid is attached (by aminoacyl-tRNA synthetases). tRNAs cope with the degeneracy of the genetic code in two manners: having more than one tRNA (with a specific anti-codon) for a particular amino acid; and 'wobble' base-pairing, i.e. permitting non-standard base-pairing at the 3rd anti-codon position. The record is from RNAcentral. Lineage: Bacteria; Bacillati; Bacillota; Bacilli; Lactobacillales; Streptococcaceae.
GGUCCCGUAGUGUAGCGGUUAUCACGUCGCCCUGUCACGGCGAAGAUCGCGGGUUCGAUUCCCCGUCGGGACCG